Molecule: long non-coding RNA, 1039 nt
Filed under: Homo sapiens (human)
Lineage: Eukaryota; Metazoa; Chordata; Mammalia; Primates; Hominidae
Description: HSALNT0362247
Source: RNAcentral
GUGCGUGGGGUGGGUGGUGCGAUCCCAGCUUCUAGAAUUCCUUCUGUAUGCAGAGCGAGCAAACUCCAUACCCCAAAACGUCUUUUGAAAAAAAGACAACUCGCCGCUUCCCCACCAAACAAUCACCCAGUAACCUAGGAGUUCUCUGUAGAACGUGUCGGACACGGUCAUGGUUUACCUAACACUGUAAAGAGAACGUUCAAUGAAAUACAAAGAAAAAGAUGAUUUUUUUGCUCCAAGAGAAUUAUUCCAGCCUUGGGGUGGAGUGGGUGUGGACAGUGAGCAGAAAAACAAGAAACCAAGUUCUGGGAGGAAAUAAAAUGAAUAUAAUCAGUGGAAAAUUCAGCAACGCAAUAUUGUGUGACAACAGUAAAUGACCAAUUUAUAAUUUAAAUUCUAUGAAAAAGAGAUUUAGAAGAGAGUUCUACCAAACCCACUGUUCCCUAGGGAAUAAAAUGAGUAACGCUGACUGGCAACAGUGCAUCCUGAGGGAGCCUGGAGAAACAACAGCAGCCUCCGACCUCAAGAUAUCCUGGUAGUGCUGUGACAGUGUCUUAAGUAGGGCAUGUUGAUAGAUGGAAAAGGACGGCAAACUCGAGGUGCUGAUUCAGGAAGAAGCAGAUUCCAAGAUGGAAGAGAAAAUAUCGAGAGAAAUAUGCCGAGAGAAGAAUCCAGGCAGAAUGGAAUCCAGGCAGAAUGGUGAAUGGAAGGUUCGGGUGACCAAGAGAAAGGAAGGGUGACUCAGCAAGUCUGUAGUUUCAGCUCUUGUAUAGUACGUUAUACUUGAAAAGCUGAAGCCUUUUCUCGGGGAAGAGUCAGAACGGCCUGGAGGGCUUGCUAAAGCGCUGCUGGCUGGGCCCCGCCCGCUGAAUGACUAAUGGAGACUCUGAGGGCCGGCUGGUAAUUUGAGUUUCUAACAAGCCCUGUUUCGAUGCUGGUACAGCCGAUCUAGGGAAAAUAUUGGAACAAGGAAAAAACUAAGAAGAAAUUUUAAAAAGUAAUCAAAGGCGGCCAAGUGAGGUGGCUCACGCCUGUGAUC